Molecule: non-coding RNA, 1789 nt
Organism: Nicotiana tabacum (common tobacco)
Lineage: Eukaryota; Viridiplantae; Streptophyta; Magnoliopsida; Solanales; Solanaceae
Source: RefSeq, a predicted model, not a curated record
CUCAUGAAAUUCUAGCUCACUGCUUCGUCUCAUGCUAGUUGAUUUUGGAUAGCUACAACAAUUGAAAUAAGAAAUAGCACUGUUUUAAAAUGGUCAGUACAUUGAUUCAGUUGAUGAGAACUUUGGAUAAGAUACCAGAAGAGGUAAAGCUGGGAGCUGAAUGAUAGUAAAUCUGAUUGUGAGGUAGAAAAUUAUUUCUCCUUGCUUCUAUUGUAUAUAAGUUUUGACUGCAUUUGGUAUCCUCUUAAAUUUCUUUGCACGGACUUAAGUCUGCGAAAUGAUGAUAUAUUUCAGUUUAGUCACUCUGAUGAUGACCAUUACGUAGUUGCACCAAUCGAGAAAAAAGAUGCUCAGGAUAAUGGUAAUAUGGCUGAUGAAGGUACUAUGCAUCCCGACUAAGGUCUCACAAACGUGCACGGUGGGAGGCCUCCUAUGUGAGGUCAGGCGAUGGUCAACAACUCAAGCAGGAAAUGCUGAAAAGCGGCUAACAAUGCACGUCUAUUCUGUACAGAUUCUAAUAAACCUCUUGUGCCUUCAGCAUAAAACCACCUAAGAGACUCACUCCUUGUGUACUCUUUUUUACUUCACCAUACCCGGUGGCAGAAGUAGGAUUUCACCAAGGGGAUUCAAAAAAUACACAAAAACUAAACAGGUGAAGAAGCUAAGGAAAUUCAACAUCUAAUAUAUAUACAUAAAAUAAAAAAGACCUUAUAUACACAAUGUAAUUUUCGAGCGAAGGGGGUUCCGGCCACCUAGCUCCGCCCUGCAUACCUCAUAGUGGGCUAAUUCAUGAAUUGAAUCAAAUGGUGCCUUAAUACUCCUCCGAAAAAAGAGGGAAAGUGCUAAAACCGCUGCCAAAUUACCAUUUUCCGAUGAUACUCAGGAUCCAGCAGAAGAUGAACAACAAUUUGGUAGGCUAAGAAACUGGAUCAACUCAUACCACCUUGACAGAAUUGAAGUGACUGAUGUUUGCUCUCAUUUCCGUGACAUCUCAGCGGAACCUCUGAUGCUGGUCUUGACUGAUGAUAUCUAAGUGGGGUGCACAGUAUCCUUUUCCAAAUGCGUUUUCAUGACAUGAAGCUGCUUUGAUUGGAUUGGUAUUUCCUCGACUAUGCACUUUGUGUGUUUCGAAAGUCUUCACCUACGCUUUGCCCUUUUCUAUUUCUCCUUUUCUGGGAACUGGUCCCUUCAAAUGAAAUUAUCAGGUAAGGAGCAGGCAUCCCUUUUUAUAUUGAGUCCUGCUAUAGAGUUUACUUUUCCUUAAUUCUACAUGUUGUGCAUCUACCUUGUCAAGAUAAAUGUUUUUCUCUCUAUGCAUGCCAUCACCACCAUCACCCUCUGAGUAUUGGUGUCCUCCUUUUACCCGAAGGAUAUGCAAAGAACAAAUAUCCAAAUAACAUCCGAUACAUUGAUAGAAUGAGGAGAAAGGUUUAGUAUUCUCAUUUAGUUAACUAAACUUCUCAAAGUUAUGAGAGGAAUGCAUACAACAGUUUCUUAUUUCACUAAUUGAAAUUCUGUUAUGAGCAGUAAUAGAUUAGAAUAUUAGAUGCUUAAUUCCUGGAAUGCAUGUUUGUAAUGGACUGUCUUGUUUCAGGCUUUGUAUCAUGCUCUUCAAUGAACUAUGUAUGUGAAACGCCAAAAAGCUAAGGUUCGUGAACCUGGAUUCUCAGUUAGCGACAUUUCUUGAUAGUUUACUUAGAACUCUUCUUGUAAUCCGAGCAGUUAUACUCCUAUUUGUUUCAUCUUGGAAAUUUCACUAGUUAACUAGCAUAAAUACUGUUGGACAUGA